RNAcentral lists this ribosomal RNA (418 nucleotides) under uncultured bacterium. RNAcentral's name for it is "bacterial SSU rRNA". It matches the Rfam family "Bacterial small subunit ribosomal RNA", at positions 8 to 422 of the family's 1533-position model. The record is from RNAcentral.
AGAGUUUGAUCCUGGCUCAGAUUGAACGCUGGCGGCAUGCCUAACACAUGCAAGUCGAACGGCAGCACAGCAGUAGCAAUACUGUGGGUGGCGAGUGGCGGACGGGUGAGUAAUGCAUCGGGAUCUACCCUGACGUGGGGGAUAACCUCGGGAAACCGGGACUAAUACCGCAUACGUCCUACGGGAGAAAGCGGGGGACCUUCGGGCCUCGCGCGGCAGGACGAACCGAUGUGCGAUUAGCUAGUUGGCGGGGUAAUGGCCCACCAAGGCGACGAUCGCUAGCUGGUCUGAGAGGAUGAUCAGCCACACUGGGACUGAGACACGGCCCAGACUCCUACGGGAGGCAGCAGUGGGGAAUAUUGGACAAUGGGCGCAAGCCUGAUCCAGCAAUGCCGCGUGUGUGAAGAAGGCCUUCGGG